This 253-nucleotide ribosomal RNA is filed under the name uncultured bacterium. Its description in RNAcentral is "partial 16S ribosomal RNA". It matches the Rfam family "Bacterial small subunit ribosomal RNA", at positions 524 to 776 of the family's 1533-position model. The record is from RNAcentral.
UACGUAGGCAGCGAGCGUUGUUCGGAGUUACUGGGCGUAAAGGGAGCGUAGGCGGACUGUUAAGUUAGAGGUGAAAGCCCAGGGCUCAACCUUGGAAUUGCCUUUGAUACUGGCUGUCUUGAGUUCGGGAGAGGUGAGUGGAAUGCCGAGUGUAGAGGUGAAAUUCGUAGAUAUUCGGCGGAACACCAGUGGCGAAGGCGACUCACUGGCCCGAUACUGACGCUGAGGCGCGAAAGCGUGGGGAGCAAACAGG